CCUACGGGUGGCAGCAGUGAGGAAUAUUGGUCAAUGGGCGAGAGCCUGAACCAGCCACGUAGCGUGAAGGAUGAAUGCCCUACGGAUUGUAAACUUCUUUUAUAAAGGAAUAAAGUGAGGCACGAGUGCCUCUUUGUAUGUACUUUAUGAAUAAGGAUCGGCUAACUCCGUGCCAGCAGACGCGGUAAUACGGAGGAGCCGAGCGUUGUCCGGAUUUAUUGGGUGUAAAGGUAGCGUAGAUGGGUUGUUAAGUCAGUUGUGAACGGUUGCGGCUCAACCGUAAAAUUGCAAUUGAUACUGGCAGUCUUGAGUACAGUUGAGGUAAGCGGAAUUCGUGGUGUAGCGGUGAAAUGCUUAGAUAUCACGAAGAACUCCGGUUGCGAAGGCGGCCUGCUGGACUUUAACUGACGCUGAUGCUCGAAAGUGUGGGUAUCGAACAGGAUUAGAUACCCCUGUAGUC
RNAcentral lists this ribosomal RNA (460 nucleotides) under uncultured bacterium. Its description in RNAcentral is "partial 16S ribosomal RNA". It matches the Rfam family "Bacterial small subunit ribosomal RNA", at positions 338 to 795 of the family's 1533-position model. The record is from RNAcentral.